GAACUUGAGUUUGUGGCAAUUGUUAACAUUGAGUCUGUAUUUUUCUCUGAACAUUAGUUGGUGGCAAUUGUUGAACUUGAGUUCGUGUGUUUGUUGAACUUGAGUUUUUGUCGUUUAGAACUUGAGUUUGUGGUGUUUUUGAACUUGAGGUUUUGGCAAAUGUUAAACUUGAUAUUUGGGUGUUGUUUGAACUUGAGUUUGUGUCGUGUUUGAACUUGAAGUUGUGUCGUGUUUGAACUUGAGUUUGUGUCGUGUUUGAACUUGAGUUUGUGUCAUGUUUGAACUUGAGUGUUGUGUUUGAACUUGAGUUUGUUGCAAUUUUUGAACUUGAGUUUUUAACUUGAGUCUGGUUUUUAGUGAACUUUAUUUGGUGGCAAUUGUUAAACUUGAGUUUGUGUGUUUGUUGAACCUGAGUUUGUGUCGUGUUUGAACUUGAGAUUUUGCUGUUUUGUGAUCUUGAAUUUGUGUGGGUUUUUUUAACUUGAGUUUUUGGUGUUUUUGAAUUUGAGUUUCUGUUGUUUUUGAACAUGAGGUUGUGGCAAUUUGUUAAACUUGAGAUUUGGGUGUUGGUAGAAAUUAAGUUUUGGCAUUUUUGAACUUGAGUUUGUGGUGUUUUUGAACUUGAAUUUGUGUGUUUUUUGAACCUGAGUUUGUUGAACUUGAGUUUUUGGCAAUUCUUUAAUGUUAAUAUAGGUUAUUUGUUGAAUUUGAAAUUUUGGCAUUUUUUGAACUUAAGCUUGUGGUGUUUGUUGAACUUGAGUUUGUGGCAAUUGUUAACACUGAGUCUGUAUUUUUCUCUGAACAUUAGUUGGUGGCAAUUGUUGAACUUGAGUUCGUGUGUUUGUUGAACUUGAGUUUUUGUCGUUUAGAACUUGAGUUUGUGGUGUUUUUGAACUUGAGGUUUUGGCAAAUGUUAAACUUGAUAUUUGGGUGUUGUUUGAACUUGAGUUUGUGUCGUGUUUGAACUUGAGUUUGUGUCGUGUUUGAACUUGAGUUUGUGUCGUGUUUGAACUUGAGUUUGUGUCAUGUUUGAACUUGAGUGUUGUGUUUGAACUUGAGUUUGUUGCAAUUUUUGAACUUGAGUUUUUAACUUGAGUCUGGUUUUUAGUGAACUUUAUUUGGUGGCAAUUGUUAAACUUGAGUUUGUGUGUUUGUUGAACCUGAGUUUGUGUCGUGUUUGAACUUGAGAUUUUGCUGUUUUGUGAUCUUGAAUUUGUGUGGUUUUUUUUUACUUGAGUUUUUGGUGUUUUUGAAUUUGAGUUUCUGUUGUUUUUGAACAUGAGGUUGUGGCAAUUUGUUAAACUUGAGAUUUGGGUGUUGGUUGAAAUUAAGUUUCGGCAUUUUUGAACUUGAGUUUGUGGUGUUUUUGAACUUGAAUUUGUGUGUUUUUUGAACCUGAGUUUGUUGAACUUGAGUUUUUGGCAAUUCUUUAAUGUUAAUAUAGGUUAUUUGUUGAAUUUGAAAUUUUGGCAUUUUUUGAACUUAAGCUUGUGGUGUUUGUUGAACUUGAGUUUGUGGCAAUUGUUAACAUUGAGUCUGUAUUUUUCUCUGAACAUUAGUUGGUGGCAAUUGUUGAACUUGAGUUCGUGUGUUUGUUGAACUUGAGUUUUUGUCGUUUAGAACUUGAGUUUGUGGUGUUUUUGAACUUGAGGUUUUGGCAAAUGUUAAACUUGAUAUUUGGGUGUUGUUUGAACUUGAGUUUGUGUCGUGUUUGAACUUGAGUUUGUGUCGUGUUUGAACUUGAGUUUGUGUCGUGUUUGAACUUGAGUUUGUGUCAUGUUUGAACUUGAGUGUUGUGUUUGAACUUGAGUUUGUUGCAAUUUUUGAACUUGAGUUUUUAACUUGAGUCUUUGGUUUUUAGUGAACUUUAUUUGGUGGCAAUUGUUAAACUUGAGUUUGUGUGUUUGUUGAACCUGAGUUUGUGUCGUGUUUGAACUUGAGAUUUUGCUGUUUUGUGAUCUUGAAUUUGUGUGGGUUUUUUUAAACUUGAGUUUUUGGUGUUUUUGAAUUUGAGUUUCUGUUGUUUUUGAACAUGAGGUUGUGGCAAUUUGUUAAACUUGAGAUUUGGGUGUUGGUUGAAAUUAAGUUUCGGCAUUUUUGAACUUGAGUUUGUGGUGUUUUUGAACUUGAAAUUGUGUGUUUUUUGAACCUGAGUUUGUUGAACUUUUUUGGCAAUUCUUUAAUGUUAAUAUAGGUUAUUUGUGUAAUUUGAAAUUUUGGCAUUUUUUGAACUUAAGCUUGUGGUGUUUGUUGAACUUGAGUUUGUGGCAAUUGUUAACAUUGAGUCUGUAUUUUUCUCUGAACAUUAGUUGGUGGCAAUUGUUGAACUUGAGUUCGUGUGUUUGUUGAACUUGAGUUUUUGUCGUUUAGAACUUGAGUUUGUGGUGUUUUUGAACUUGAGGUUUUGGCAAAUGUUAAACUUGAUAUUUGGGUGUUGUUUGAACUUGAGUUUGUGUCGUGUUUGAACUUGAGUUUGUGUCGUGUUUGAACUUGAGUUUGUGUCGUGUUUGAACUUGAGUUUGUGUCAUGUUUGAACUUGAGUGUUGUGUUUGAACUUGAGUUUGUUGCAAUUUUUGAACUUGAGUUUUUAACUUGAGUCUGGUUUUUAGUGAACUUUAUUUGGUGGCAAUUGUUAAACUUGAGUUUGUGUGUUUGUUGAACCUGAGUUUGUGUCGUGUUUGAACUUGAGAUUUUGCUGUUUUGUGAUCUUGAAUUUGUGUGGGUUUUUUUUAACUUGAGUUUUUGGUGUUUUUGAAUUUGAGUUUCUGUUGUUUUUGAACAUGAGGUUGUGGCAAUUUGUUAAACUUGAGAUUUGGGUGUUGGUUGAAAUUGAGUUUGUGGUGUUUUUGAACUUGAGUUUGAUGUGUUUUUGAACUUGAAUUUGUGUGUUUUUUUAACCUGAGUUUGUUGAACUUGAGUUUUUGGCAAUUCUUUAAUGUUAAUAUAGGUUAUUUGUUGAAUUUGAAAUUUUGGCAUUUUUUGAACUUAAGUUUGUGGUGUUUGUUGAACUUGAGUUUGUGGCAGUUGUUAACAUUGAGUCUGUAUUUUUCUCUGAACAUUAGUUGGUGGCAAUUGUUGAACUUGAGUUCGUGUGUUUGUUGAACUUGAGUUUUUGUCGUUUAGAACUUGAGUUUGUGGUGUUUUUGAACUUGAGGUUUUGGCAAAUGUUAAACUUGAUAUUUGGGUGUUGUUUGAACUUGAGUUUGUGUCGUGUUUGAACUUGAGUUUGUGUCGUGUUUGAACUUGAGUUUGUGUCGUGUUUGAACUUGAGUUUGUGUCAUGUUUGAACUUGAGUGUUGUGUUUGAACUUGAGUUUGUUGCAAUUUUUGAACUUGAGUUUUUAACUUGAGUCUUUGGUUUUUAGUGAACUUUAUUUGGUGGCAAUUGUUAAACUUGAGUUUGUCGCGUGUUUGAACUUGAGUUUGUGUUGUUUUUUAACUUGAGGUUUUGGCAAUUGUUAAUCUUUAGUUUUGGGUGUUGGUUGAACUUAAAACUUUGACAUUUGUUGAACUUGACUUUGUGGUGUCCAUUUAACUUGAGUUUGUGGUGUUUUUGAACUUGAAUUUUUGUGUUUUUUUGAACUUGAGUUUGUGGUGUUUUUGAACUUGAAUUUGUGUGUUUUUUGAACUUGAGGUUGUUGCAAUUUUUGAACUUGAGUUUGUUGAACUUGAGUUUUUGGCAAUUGUUAAAUGUGAGUUUAGGUCAUUUGUUGAAUUUGAAAUUUUGGCAUUUUUUGAACUUAAGAUUGUGGUGUUUGUUGAACUUGAGUUUGUGGCAAUUGUUGAACUUGAGUCUGUAUUUUUCUCUGAACUUUAGUUUGAAUUUUUGUAUUUUUUUUUAAUUUAAGUUUGUGGCAAUUGUUAAACUUGAGAUUUGGGUGUUGGUUGAACUUGAGUUUGUGGUGUUUUUGAACUUGAGUUUGUGUGUUUGUUUAACUUGAGUUUGUGGCGUGUUUUGACUUGAGUUUCUGUUGUUUUUGAACUUGAGGUUGUGGCAAUUGUCAAACUUGAGAUUUGGGAUUUGGUUGAACUUGAGUUUGUGUCGUGUUUGAACUUUGGUUUGUGGUGCUUUUUAACUUGAGUUUGUGGCGGUGUUGAGCUUGAGUUUGUGGCGUGUUUUAACCUGAAUUUUUGUUGUUUUUCUUACUUGAGGCUUUGGCAAUUGUUAAACUUUAGAUUUGGGUGUUGGUUGAACUUAAAACUUUGACAUUUGUUGAACUUAUGUAUGUGGUGUUCACUGAACUUCAGUUUGUGUCUUGUUUGAACUUGACUUUGUGGUGUUUUUGAACUUGAGUUGGUGGUGUUUUUGAACUUGAGUUGGUGGAAAUUGUUGAACUUGAGAAUUGGGUGUUGGUUGAACUUGAGUUUGUGGUGUUUUUGAACUUGAGUUUGAGUUUGUUUGUUUGUUGAACUUGAGUUCGUGGCGUGUUUGAACUUGAGUUUGUGUUCUUUUUGAACUUGAGGUUGUGGAAAUUGUUAAACUCGCCCUCCUCGAGCCCCUUCCUGCCUUUCACGAGCCAUCAUGAAAGGCGAUAGCAGGGAGCGCACGCGAGGUUCAGUUCAGGGCCCCCGUUCUCCACGUUGGCAGGGGUGAAAGGCCAGCGGCAGGAAGAGCACCUUCCCGCCCUCCACGUGCCAUCAUGAAGGCGGAGGAGGCAGGGGUAGAGCAGCAAUGAACAGAACCCCCCCAAAACAACCAUGCCGUGCAGUCUAGGAGCUAGCAGGGGAGGUGAGCGCUGCUGAAAGAAAGACGGGUUAGAGAGACCCGUUGCCCAAGCAUGGUGCGCACUGGUGCUCCCACUUGGAGUUUAUUUGUAAGCAAAUACCACUCACUCUCAAGCGGCAUGGUCCUAUUGGAUUACUUCGGUUAUAACGCAGAGUGCAGACUGAUGUGCAGCAACAGACUAAGCCUAGAUACAUGACAGGGGUGAAAACUUUAAACAGCUGAUUAUGUCUUCCCGAAAUGGCGUACUGCUGCGUAAUGGCUUACUUUCACCUCCAGGUGAGAGAAAGACCCGCAGAUUAAGCAGGAAAAAGCUUGAUGCUCGGUGAAUUGUUAACUGAUUAGAGCCAGGUCGACUACGGACUGAUCAAGUCUUUGGCUGAAUCUUUGAAUGUACUUAGCAGCUUUGCUGAAAAUGAUUUGUAAUGUUCCUAGAAUAAUGAUCCUCCCUAUGUCAUGGCUGAAUCAGAAAUAAUGGCGAGAUAUGUGUCCAGUUCAGUUCUGCGUGCUGAAAACACUUUACAUAUGACAUCUACAAAUACGCUGAAAGCUAUGAAUUCAGCCAAGGUCGGAGAUUUAAACAGCCGGGCAUCACGAUAUUUAAGCAUCACAGGCUCAUCUCCGCAAUCCACAAUGCGUCUAUCAUUGUAGUCUGAGCACAGCAAGACUAAUGUCAGUACCUGCAAGGAUUUGGCUCCGCGGAUUAGGUGUAAUUGCAGCCGCGACCAGGUCGCGUCGCGUCGCGUGGUGCUCUGGUGUGUUCACACCGGGUCCAAAGCUGCGGUCGCAGGACACGGCUGGUCGCUGCUGACCCGCUUCUCCUACCUUCCAUCUCCCUCCUUUUCUCCCUCAUAUAUACAUCCCGCAGCCCAGUUCAAAUAUUUGAACUUUGGGAGCGACGAGACUUGGCGUCCUGCGACCUCGGAAACGCAACUUCGGCAACGCGACGCAGGUAGCCAGCGGUCGCCAAGUCGCGUCAGGUCGCGGCUGUCCAUAGACUUUGCAUUGGGAGCCAUCGCCGACGUCACCGAAGUCGCGUUUGGUCUGAACACCCCUUAACGCUAAGCUUCAUAUUUGGAUAUUGGUUGACUUGAGUUUCUGUGUUUGUUGAACUUGAGUUUGUGACAUGUUUGAACUUGAAUUUGUGGUGUUUUUGAACUUGAGUUUGUGUGUUUGUUGAACUUGAGUUUGUGGCGUGUUUGAACUUGAGUUUGUGUUGUUUUUGAACUUGAGGUUUUGGCAAAUGUUAAACUUGAGAUUUGGGUGUUGGUUGAACUUGAGUUUGUGUCGUAAUUGAACUUGAUUUUUUUGCAAUUUUUGAACUUGAGUUUGUUGAACUUGAGGUUGUGGAAAUUGUUAAACUUGAGAAUUGGGUAUUGAUUGAACUUGAGUUUGUGUGUUUGUUAAACUUCAGUUUGUCUCGUGUUAGAACUUGAGUUUCUGUUGUUUUUGAACUUGAGGUUGUGGCAAUUGUUAAACUUGAGAUUUGGGUGUUGGUUGAACUUGAGUUUGUGUCAUGUUUGAACUUGAGUUUGUGGUGUUUUUUAACUUGAGUAUGUGUGGUUUUUUAACUUAGUUUUGUGGCAAUUGUUAAACUUGAGAUUUGGGUGUUGGUUGAACUUGGGUUUGUGGUGUUUUUGAACUUGAGUUUGUGUCUUUGUUGAACUUGAGUUUGUGGCGUGUUUUAACUUGAGUUUCUGUUGUUUUUGAACUUGAGGUUGUGGCAAUUGUUGAACUUGAGAUUUGGGUGUUGGUUGAACUUGAGUUUGUGUCAUGUUUGAACUUGAGUUUGUGGUGUUUUUGAACUUGAGUUUGUGUGGUUUUUUAACUUAGUUUUGUGGCAAUUGUUAAACUUGAGAUUUGGGUGUUGGUUGAACUUGGGUUUGUGGUGUUUUUGAACUUGAGGGUGUGGAAUAUGUUAUAUUGAGAAAUUGGUAUUGGUUGAACUUGAGUUUUUGGUGUUUUUGAACUUGAGUUUUUGGAAAUUGUUAAACUUGAGAAUCAGGUGUUUGAUGAACUUGAGUUAGUGUUUGUUGAACUUGAGUUUGUGUCGUGUUGGAACUUAAUCUCGUGUUGUUUGUUGAAUUGAGUUUGUGUGUUUUUGAACUUGAGGUUGUGAAAAUUUUUAAACUUGAGAAUCAGGUAAUGGUUGAACUUGAGUUUGUGGUUUUUGUUGAACAUGAGUUUGUCUCGUUUUUGAACUUGAUUUUUGGUGUUUUUGAACUUGAGCAUGUGUUGUUUUUGAACUUGAGGUUGUGGAAAUUGUUAAACUUGAGAAUUGGGUAUUGGUUGAACUUGAUUUUUUUGUGUUUUGAACUUGAGUUUGUGUCGUGUUUGAACUUGAGUUUGUAGCGAGUUUGGCCAUGAGUUUGUGUUGUUUUUGAACUUGAGUUUUUGUGUUCGUUGAACUUGAGUGUGUUUCAUGUUUGAGCUUGAGAUUGUGGUGGUUUUGAACUUGAGUUAGUGUGUUUGUUGAACUUGAGUUUUUGGUGUUUUUGAACUUGAGGUUGUUGAAAUUGUUAAACUUGAGAAUUGGGUAUUGGUUGAACUUGAGUUUGUGAUUUUGUUGAACUUGAGUUUGGUUCGUGUUUUAACUUGAUUUUGUGAUGUUUUUGAAUUUGAGUUUGUGGUGUUUUUGAAUUUGAGUUUGUAGCGUGUUUGGCCAUGAGUUUGUGUUGUUUUUGAACUUGAGUUUUUGUGUUCGUUGAACUUGAGUGUGUUUCAUGUUUGAGCUUGAGAUUGUGGUGUUUUUGAACUUGAGUUAGUGUGUUUGUUGAACUUGAGUUUGUGUUGUGUUUGAACUUUAGUUUGUGGCGUUUUUUGAGCUUGAUUUUGUGUCGUGUUUGAACUUGAGUUUGUUGGUUUUUUUGAACUUGAGUUUGUGUCGUGUUUGAACUUGAGUUUGUGUGUUUUUUGAACUUGAGUUUGUGUGGUUUUUGAACUUGAGUUUGUUUCGUGUUUGAACUUGAGUUUGUGGCGUUUGUUGAAUUUGAGUUUGUGUCAUGUUUGAACUUGAGUUUGUGGUGUUUUUGAACUUGAGUUUGUGUGGUUGGUUGAACUUGAGUUUCUGUUGUUUUUGAACUUGAGGUUGUGGAAAUUGUUAAACUUGAGAAUCAGGUGUUGGUUGAACUUGAGUUUGUGUGUUUGUUGAACUUGAGUUUUUGGUGUUUUUGAACUUGAGGUUGUUGAAAUUGUUAAACUUGAGAAUUGGGUAUUGAUUGAACUUGAGUUUGUGAUUUUGUUGAACUUGAGUUUGGUUCGUGUUUUAACUUGAGUUUGGGGAGUUUUUUUAAUUUGAGUUUGUGGUGUUUUUGAACUUGAGUUUGUGUUGUGUUUGAACUUGAGUUUGUGGUGUUUUUGAACUUGAGUUUGUGUGUUUGUUGAACUUGAGUUUGUGUUGUGUUCGAACUUGAGUUUGUGGUGAUUUUGAACUUGAGUUUGUGACGUGUUUGAACUUGAGUUUGUGGUGUUUUUGAACUUGAGUUUGUGGUGUUUUUGAACUUGAGUUUGUGGUGUUUUUGAACUUGGGUUUGUGGUGUUUUUGAACUUGAGUUUUUGGAAAUUGUUAAACUUGAGAAUCAGGUGUUUGAUGAACUUGAGUUAGUGUUUGUUGAACUUGAGUUUGUGUCGUGUUGGAUCUUGAGCUCGUGUUGUUUGUUGAAUUGAGUUUGUGUGUUUUUUGAACUUGAGGUUGUGUGUUUGUUGAACUUGAGUUUGUGUUGUGUUUGAACUUUAGUUUGUGGCGUUUUUUGAGCUUGAUUUUGUGUCGUGUUUGAACUUGAGUUUGUUGGUUUUUUUUAACUUGAGUUUGUGUCGUGUUUGAACUUGAGUUUGUGUGUUUUUUGAACUUGAGUUUGUGUGGUUUUUGAACUUGAGUUUGUUUCGUGUUUGAACUUGAGUUUGUGUCGUGUUUGAACUUGAGUUUGUGUGUUUUUUGAACUUGAGUUUGUGUGGUUUUUGAACUUGAGUUUGUUUCGUGUUUGAACUUGAGUUUGUGGCGUUUGUUGAAUUUGAGUUUGUGUCAUGUUUGAACUUGAGUUUGUGGUGUUUUUGAACUUGAAUUUGCCUGUUUGGUUAACCUGAGUUUCUGUUGUUUUUGAACUUGAGGUUGUGGAAAUUGUUAAACUUGAGAAUCAGGUGUUGGUUGAACUUGAGUUUUUGGUGUUUUUGAACUUGAGGUUGUUGAAAUUGUUAAACUUGAGAAUUGGGUAUUGGUUGAACUUGAGUUUGGGAUUUUGUUGAACUUGAGUUUGGUUCGUGUUUUAACUUGAGUUUGUGAUGUUUUUGAACUUGAGUUUGUGUGUUGGUUGAACUUGAGUUUGUGUUGUGUUUGAACUUGAGUUUGUGGUGUUUUCUAACUUGAGUUUGUGUGUUUGUUGAACUUGAGUUUCUGUUGUAUUUGAACUUGAGGUUGUUGAAAUUGUUAAACUUGAGAAUCGGGUAUUGGUUGAACUUGAGUUUGUGAUUUUGUUGAACGUGAGUUUGGUUCCUGUUUUAACUUGAGUUUGUGAUGUUUUUGAACUUGAGUUUGUGUGUUUGUUGAACUUGAGUUUGUGUUGUGUUCGAACUUGAGUUUGUGGUGUUUUGAUCUUGAGGUUGUGGAAAUUGUUAAACUUGAGAAUUGGGUAUUUGUUGAACUUGCGUUUUUAUGUUUUUUUAAUUGGGUUUGUGUAGUGUUUGAACCUGAGUUUGUGGUGUUUUUGAACUUGAGGUGCGUGUUUGGUGACCUUAAGUUUGUGUGUUUUUUGAACUUUAGUAUCUGUUGUUUUGAACUUGAACUUGAGGGUGUGGAAUUUGUUAAACUUGAGAAUUGGGUUUUGGUUGAACUUGAGUUUGUGGUGUUUUUGAACUUGAGUUUGUUUCGUGUUUGAACUUGAGUUUGUGGCGUUUGUUGAACUUGAGUUUGUGUCGUGUCUGAACUUGAGUUUGUGGUGUUUUUGAACAUGAGUUUGUGGUGUUUUUGAACUUGAGGGUGUGGAAUUUGUUAAACUUGAGAAUUGGGUAUUGGUUGAACUUGAGUUUGUGUGUUUGUUGAACUUGAGUUUGUGUCGAGUUUGAACUUGAGUUUGUGGUGUUUUUUUACUUGAUUUUGUGUGUUUGUUGAACUUGAGUUUGUGUUUGAACUUGAGUUUGUGGAGUUUUUGAACUUGAGUUUGUGUCGUGUUUUAACUUGAGUUUGUGUGUUUGUUUAACUUGAUUUUGUGUUAUGUUUGAACUUGAGUUUGUGGUGUUUUUGAACUUGAGUUUGUGUGUUUGAUGAACUUGAGUUUGUAUUGUGUAUGAACUUGAGUUUGUGUUUUUUUUAACUUGAGUUUGUGUGUUUGUUGAACUUGAGUUUGUUUCUUGUUUGAACUUGAGUUUGGGGCGUUUGUUGAACUUGAGUUUGUGUUGUGUUUGAACUUGAGUUUGUGGUGUUUUUGAACUUGAAUUUGGCUGUUUGGUUAACUUGAUUUUCUGUUGUUUUUGAACUUGAGGUUGUGGAAAUUGUUAAACUUGAGAAUCAGGUGUUGGUUGAACUUGAGUUUGUGUGUAUGUUGAACUUGAGUUUUUGGUGUUUUUGAACUUGAGGUUUUUGAAAUUGUUAAACUUGAGAAUUGGGUAUUGGUUGAACUUGAGUUUGUGAUUUUGUUGAACUUGAGUUUGGUUCGUGUUUUAACUUGAGUUUGUGAUGUUUUUGAACUUGAGUUUGUGUGUUGGUUGAACUUGAGUUUGUGUUGUGUUUGAACUUGAGUUUGUGGUGUUUUCUAACUUGAGUUUGUGUGUUUGUUGAACUUGAGUUUCUGUUGUGUUCGAACUUGAGGUUGUUGAAAUUGUUAAACUUGAGAAUUGGGUAUUGGUUGAACUUGAGUUUGUGAUUUUGUUGAACUUGAGUUUGGUUCGUGUUUUAACUUGAGUUUGUGAUGUUUUUGAACUUGAGUUUGUGUGUUUGUUGAACUUGAGUUUGUGUUGUGUUCGAACUUGAGUUUGUGGUGUUUUGAUCUUGAGGUUGUGGAAAUUGUUAAACUUGAGAAUUGGGUAUUUGUUGAACUUGCGUUUUUAUGUUUUUUUAAUUGGGUUUGUGUGGUGUUUGAACCUGAGUUUGUGGUGUUUUUGAACUUGAGGUGCUUGUUUGGUGACCUUAAGUUUGUGUGUUUUUUGAACUUUAGUAUCUGUUGUUAUUUGAACUUGAAGUUGUGGGUUUUUUUUAACUUGAGGGUGUGGAAUUUGUUAAACUUGAGAAUUGGGUUUUAGUUGAACUUGAGUUUGUGGUGUUUUUGAACUUGAGUUUGCUUCGUGUCUGAACUUGAGUUUGUGGUGUUUUUGAACAUGAGUUUGUGGUGUUUUUGAACUUGAGGGUGUGGAAUUUGUUAAACUUGAGAAUUGGGUAUUGGUUGAACUUGAGUUUGUGUGUUUGUUGAACUUGAGUUUGUGUCGAGUUUGAACUUGAGUUUGUGGUGUUUUUUUACUUGAUUUUGUGUGUUUGUUGAACUUGAGUUUGUGUGUUUUUUUAACUUGAGUAUCUGUUGUUUUUUGAACUUGAAGUAGUGGUUUUUUUUAACUUGAGGGUGUGGAAUUUGUUAAACUUGAGAAUUGGGUAUUUGUUGAACUUGCUUUUUUAUGUUUUUUUAAUUGGGUUUGUGUAGUGUUUGGACCUUAGUUUGUCGUGUUUUUGAACUUGAGGUGCGUGUUUGGUGACCUUAAGUUUGUGUGUUUUUUGAACUUUAGUAUCUGUUGUUUUUUGAACUUGAAGUUGUGGUUUUUUUUAACUUGAGGGUGUGGAAUUUCUUAAACUUGAGAAUUGGGUUUUGGUUGAACUUGAGUUUGUGGUGUUUUUUAACUUGAGUUUGUUUCGUGUUUGAACUUGAGUUUGUGGCGUUUGUUGAACUUGAGUUUCUGUUGUUUUUGAACUUGAAUUUGUGUCGUGUUUGAACUUGAGUUUGUGGCGUUUGUUGAACUUGAGUUUGUGUCGUGUCUGAACUUGAGUUUGUGGUGUUUUUGAACAUGAGUUUGUGGUGUUUUUGAACUUGAAUUUGUGUCGUGUUUGAACUUGAGUUUGUGGCGUUUGUUGAACUUGAGUUUGUGUCGUGUCUGAACUUGAGUUUGUGGUGUUUUUGAACAUGAGUUUGUGGUGUUUUUGAACUUGAGGGUGUGGAAUUUGUUAAACUUGAGAAUUGGGUAUUGGUUGAACUUGAGUUUGUGUGUUUGUUGAACUUGAGUUUGUGUCGAGUUUGAACUUGAGUUUGUGGUGUUUUUUUACUUGAUUUUGUGUGUUUGUUGAACUUGAGUUUGUGUUUGAACUUGAGUUUGUGGUGUUUUUGAACUUGAGUUUGUGUCGUGUUUUAACUUGAGUUUGUGUGUUUGUUUAACUUGAUUUUGUGUUAUGUUUGAACUUGAGUUUGUGGUGUUUUUGAACUUGAGUUUGUGGUGUUUUUGAACUUGAGUUUGUUUCGUGUUUGAACUUGAGUUUGUGGCGUUUGUUGAACUUGAGUUUCUGUUGUUUUUGAACUUGAAUUUGUGUCGUGUUUGAACUUGAGAUUGUGGCGUUUGUUGAACUUGAGUUUGUGUCGUGUUUGAACUUGAGUUUGUGGUGUUUUUGAACUUGAGUUUGUGGUGUUUUUGAACUUGAGUUUGUGGAAUUUGUUGAACUUGAGAAUUGGGUAUUGGUUGAACUUGAGUUUGUGUGUUUGUUGAACUUGAGUUUGUGUCGAGUUUGAACUUGAGUUUGUGGUGUGUUUUUACUUGAUUUUGUGUGUUUGUUGAACUUGAGUUUGUGUUUGAACUUGAGUUUGUGGUGUUUUUGAACUUGAGUUUGUGUCGUGUUUUAACUUGAGUUUGUGUGUUUGUUUAACUUGAUUUUGUGUUAUGUUUGAACUUGAGUUUGUGGUGUUUUUGAACUUGAGUUUGUGUGUUUGUUUAACUUGAUUUUGUGUUAUGUUUGAACUUGAGUUUGUGGUGUUUUUGAACUUGAGUUUGUGUGUUUGAUGAACUUGAGUUUGUAUUGUGUAUGAACUUGAGUUUGUGUUUCUUUUUAACUUGAGUUUGUGUGUUUGUUGAACUUGAGUUUGUUUCUUGUUUGAACUUGAGUUUGUGGCGUUUGUUGAACUUGAGUUUGUGUUGUGUUUUAACUUGAGUUUGUGGUGUUUUUGAACUUGAAUUUGCCUGUUUGGUUAACUUGAGUUUCUGUUGUUUUUGAACUUGAAGUUGUGGAAAUUGUUAAACUUGAGAAUCAGGUGCUGGUUGAACUUGAGUUUGUGUGUUUGUUGAACUUGAGUUUUUGGUGUUUUCGAACUUGAGGUUGUUGAAAUUGUUAAACUUGAGAAUUGGGUAUUGGUUGAACUUGAGUUUGUGAUUUUGUUGAACUUGAGUUUGGUUCGUGUUUUAACUUGAGUUUGUGAUGUUUUUGAACUUGAGUUUGUGUGUUGGUUGAACUUGAGUUUGUGUUGUGUUUGAACUUGAGUUUGUGGUGUUUUCUAACUUGAGUUUGUGUGUUUGUUGAACUUGAGUUUGUGUUGUGUUCGAACUUGAGGUUGUUGAAAUUGUUAAACUUGAGAAUUGGGUAUUGGUUGAACUUGAGUUUGUGAUUUUGUUGAACUUGAGUUUGGUUCGUGUUUUAACUUGAGUUUGUGAUGUUUUUGAACUUGAGUUUGUGUGUUUGUUGAACUUGAGUUUGUGUUGUGUUCGAACUUGAGUUUGUGGUGAUUUUGAUCUUGAGGUUGUGGAAUUUGUUAAACUUGAGAAUUGGGUAUUUGUUGAACUUGCUUUUUUAUGUUUUUUUAAUUGGGUUUGUGUAGUGUUUGGACCGGAGUUUGUCGUGUUUUUAAACUUGAGGUGCGUAUUUGUUGACCUUAAGUUUGUGUGUUUUUUGAACUUUAGUAUCUGUUGUUUUUUGAACUUGAAGUUGUGUUUUUUUUUUAACUUGAGGGUGUGGAAUUUUUUAAACUUGAGAAUUGGGUUUUGGUUGAACUUGAGUUUGUGGUGUUUUUUAACUUGAGUUUGUUUCGUGUUUGAACUUGAGUUUGUGGCGUUUGUUGAACUUGAGUUUGUGUCGUGUCUGAACUUGAGUUUGUGGUGUUUUUGAACAUGAGUUUGUGGUGUUUUUGAACAUGAGGGUGUGGAAUUUGUUAAACUUGAGAAUUGGGUAUUGGUUGAACUGAGUUUGUGUGUUUGUUGAACUUGAGUUUGUGUCGAGUUUGAACUUGAGUUUGUGGUGUUUUUUUACUUGAUUUUGUGUGUUUGAACUUGAGUUUGUGUUUGAACUUGAGUUUGUGGUGUUUUUGAACUUGAGUUUGUGUCGUGUUUUAACUUGAGUUUGUGUGUUUGUUUAACUUGAUUUUGUGUUAUGUUUGAACUUGAGUUUGUGGUGUUUUUGAACUUGAGUUUGUGUGUUUGAUGAACUUGAGUUUGUGUUGUGUUUGAACUUGAGUUUGUGGUUUUUUUUAAUUUGAGUUUGUGUGUUUGUUGAACUUGAGUUUGUUUCUUGUUUGAACUUGAGUUUGUGGCUUUUGUUGAAAUUGAGUUUGUGUUGUGUUUGAACUUGAGUUUGUGGCGUUUGUUGAACUUGAGUUUCUGUUGUUUUUGAACUUGAAUUUGUGUCGUGUUUGAACUUGAGUUUGUGGUGUUUUUGAACUUGAGGUGCGUGUUUGGUGACCUUGAGUUUGUGUGUUUUUUGAACUUGAGUAUCUGUUGUUUUUUGAACUUGAAGUAGUGGUUUUUUUUUUAACUUGAGGGUGUGGAAUUUGUUAAACUUGAGAAUUGGGUUUUGGUUGAACUUGAGUUUGUGGUGUUUUUGAACUUGAGUUUGUUUCGUGUUUGAACUUGAGUUUGUGGCGUUUGUAGAACUUGAGUUUCUGUUGUUUUUGAACUUGAAUUUGUGUCGUGUUUGAACUUGAGUUUGUGGCGUUUGUUGAACUUGAGUUUGUGUCGUGUCUGAACUUGAGUUUGUGGUGUUUUUGAACUUGAGUUUGUGGUGUUUUUGAACUUGAUUUUGUGUUUGAAGUUGAGUUUGUGGUGUUUUUGAACUUGAGUUUGUGUCGUGUUUUAACUUGUGUUUGUGUGCUUGUUUAACUUGAUUUUGUGUUAUGUUUGAACUUGACUUUGUGGGGUUUUUGAACUUGAGUUUGUGGUGUUUUUGAACUUGAGUUUGUGGCGUUUGUUGAACUUGACUUUCUGUUGUUUUUUAACUUGAAAUUGUCGUGUUUGAACUUGAGUUUGUGGCGUUUGUUGAACUUGAGUAUGUGGUGUUUUUGAACUUGAGGGUGUGGAAUUUGUUAAUCUUGAGAAUUGGGUAUUGGUUGAACUUGAGUUUGUGUUUUUGUUGAACUUGAGUUUGUGUCGAGUUUGAACUUGAGUUUUUGGUGUUUUUUAACUUGAUUUUGUGUGUUUGUUGAACUUGAGUUUGUUUUUGAACUUGAGUUUGUGGUGUUUUUUAACUUGAGUUUGUGUGUUUGUUUAACUUGAGUUUGUGUUGUGUUUGAACAUGAGUUUGUGGCGUUUGUUGAACUUGAGUUUGUGUAGUGUCUGAACUUGAGUUUGUGGUGUUUCUGAACUUGAGGGUCUGGAAUUUGUUAAACCUUAGAAUCGGGUGUUGGUUGAACUUGAGUUUGUUUGUUUUUUGAACUUGAGUUUGUGGUGUAUUUGAACUUGAGUUUGUGGUAUUUUUUAACUUGAUUUUGUGUCGUGUUUUAACUUGAGUUUGUGUGUUUGUUUAACUUGAUUUUGUGUUGUGUCUGAACUUGAGUUUGUGGUGUUUUUGAACUUGAGUUUGUUGAAAUUUUGAAACUUGAGAAUCAGGUGUUGGAUGAACUUCAGUUAGUGUGUAUGUUGAACUUGAGUUUGUAUCAUGUUGGAAAUUUAGUUUGUGGUGUUUGUUGAACUUGAGUUUGUGUAGUGUUUGAACUUGAGUUUGUGGUUUUUUUAACUUGAGUUUGUUUCUUUUUUGAACUUGAGUUUGUGGCGUUUGUUGAAAUUGAGUUUGUUUCAUGUUUGAACUUGAGUUUGUGAUGUUUUUGAACUUGAGUUUGUGUUUUUUUAACUUGAGGGUGUGGAAUUUGUUAAACUUUAGAAUUGGGUAUUGGUUGAACUUGAGUUUGUGAUGUUUGUUGAACUUGAGUUUGUGAUGUUUUUGAACUUGAGGUUGUGGAAAUUUUUAAACUUGAGAAUUGGGUAUUGGUUGAACUUGAGUUUGUGUGUUUGAACUUGAGGUUGUGGUUUUUUUGGACUUGAGUUUGUGUCGUGUUCAAACUUGAGGGUUUGGAAUUUGUUAAACUUGAGAAUUGGGUAUUGGUUGAAUUUGAGUUUGUGUGUUUGUUGAACUUGAGUUUGUGUCAUGUUUGAACUUGAGUUUGUGGUCUUUUUGAACUUGAGUUUGUGUGUUUGUUGAACUUGAGUUGUGGCGUUUGUUGAACUCUAGGUUGUGGCAAUUGUUAAACUUGAGAUUUGGUUGUUGGUUGAACUUGAGUUUGUGUCGUGUUUGAACAUGAGUUUGUGGCGUUUGUUGAACUUGAGUUUGUGUCGUGUCUAAACUUGAGUUUGUGGUGUUUUUGAACUUGAGUUUGUGGCGUUUGUUGAACUUGACUUUCUGUUGUUUUUUAACUUGAAAUUGUCGUAUUUGAACUUGAGUUUGUGGCGUUUGUUGAACUUGAGUAUGUGGUGUUUUUGAACUUGAGGGUGUGGAAUUUGUUAAUCUUGAGAAUUGGGUAUUGGUUGAACUUGAGUUUGUGUUUUUGUUGAACUUGAGUUUGUGUCGAGUUUGAACUUGAGUUUUUGGUGUUUUUUAACUUGAUUUUGUGUGUUUGUUGAACUUGAGUUUGUUUUUGAACUUGAGUUUGUGGUGUUUUUUAACUUGAGUUUGUGUGUUUGUUUAACUUGAGUUUGUGUUGUGUUUGGACAUGAGUUUGUGGCGUUUGUUGAACUUGAGUUUGUGUAGUGUCUGAACUUGAGUUUGUGGUGUUUCUGAACUUGAGGGUCUGGAAUUUGUUAAACCUUAGAAUCGGGUGUUGGUUGAACUUGAGUUUGUUUGUUUUUUGAACUUGAGUUUGUGGUGUAUUUGAACUUGAGUUUGUGGUAUUUUUUAACUUGAUUUUGUGUCGUGUUUUAACUUGAGUUUGUGUGUUUGUUUAAACUUGAUUUUGUGUUGUGUCUGAACUUGAUUUUGUGUUGUGUCUGAACUUGAGUUUGUGGUGUUUUUGAACUUGAGUUUGUUGAAAUUUUGAAACUUGAGAAUCAGGUGUUGGAUGAACUUCAGUUAGUGUGUAUGUUGAACUUGAGUUUGUAUCAUGUUGGAAAUUUAGUUUGUGGUGUUUGUUGAACUUGAGUUUGUGUAGUGUUUGAACUUGAGUUUGUGGUUUUUUUAACUUGAGUUUGUUUCUUUUUUGAACUUGAGUUUGUGGCGUUUGUUGAAAUUGAGUUUGUUUCAUGUUUGAACUUGAGUUUGUGAUGUUUUUGAACUUGAGUUUGUGUUUUUUUAACUUGAGGGUGUGGAAUUUGUUAAACUUUAGAAUUGGGUAUUGGUUGAACUUGAGUUUGUGAUGUUUGUUGAACUUGAGUUUGUGAUGUUUUUGAACAUGAGGUUGUGGAAAUUGUUAAACUUGAGAAUUGGGUAUUGGUUGAACUUUAGUUUGUGUGUUUGAACUUGAGGUUGUGGUGUUUUUGGACUUGAGUUUGUGUCGUGUUUGUACUUGAGGGUGUGGAAUUUGUUAAACUUGAGAAUUGGGUAUUGGUUGAAUUUGAGUUUGUGUGUUUGUUGAACUUGAGUUUGUGUCAUGUUUGAACUUGAGUUUGUGGUCUUUUUGAACUUGAGUUUGUGUGUUUGUUGAACUUGAGUUGUGGCGUUUGUUGAACUCUAGGUUGUGGCAAUUGUUAAACUUGAGAUUUGGUUGUUGGUUGAACUUGAGUUUGUGUCGUGUUUGAACAUGAGUUUGUGGCGUUUGUUGAACUUGAGUUUGUGUCGUGUCUAAACUUGAGUUUGUGGUGUUUUUGAACUUGAGUUUUCUGGUGUUUUUGAACUUGAGGGUGUGGAAUUUGUUAAACCUUAGAAUCGGGUGUUGGUUGAACUUGAGUUUGUUUGUUUUUUGAACUUGAGUUUGUGGUGUAUUUGAACUUGAGUUUGUGGUGUUUUUUAACUUGAUUUUGUGUCGUGUUUUAACUUGAGCUUGUGUGUUUGUUUAACUUGAUUUUGUGUUGUGUCUGAACUUGAGUUUGUGGUGUUUUUGAACUUGAGUUUGUUGAAAUUUUGAAACUUUAGAAUCAGGUGUUGGAUGAACUUCAGUUAGUGUGUAUGUUGAACUUGAGUUUGUAUCAUGUUGAAAAUGUAGUUUGUGGUGUUUGUUGAACUUGAGUUUGUGUUGUGUUUGAACUUGAGUUUGUGGUUUUUUUUACUUGAGUUUGUUUCUUGUUUGAACUUUAGUUUGUGGCGUUUGUUGAAAUUGAGUUUGUGUUGUGUUUGAACUUGAGUUAAUGGGGUUUUUAACUUGAGUUUGUGUUUUUUUUUCACUUGAGGGUGUGGAAUUUGUUAAACCUUAGAAUCGGGUGUUGGUUGAACUUGAGUUUUAUUUGUUUUUUGAACUUGAGUUUGUGGUGUAUUUGAACUUGAGUUUGUGGUGUUUUUUAACUUGAUUUUGUGUCGUGUUUUAACUUGAGUUUGUGUGUUUGUUUAACUUGAUUUUGUGUUGUGUCUGAACUUGAGUUUGUGGUGUUUUUGAACUUGAGUUUGUUGAAAUUUUGAAACUUGAGAAUCAGGUGUUGGAUGAACUUCAGUUAGUGUGUAUGUUGAACUUGAGUUUAUAUCAUGUUGUAAAUUUAGUUUGUGGUGUUUGUUGAACUUGAGUUUGUGUCGUGUUUGAACUUGAGUUUUUGGUGUUUUUGAACUUGAGGUUGUGGAAAUUGUUAAACUUGAGAAUUGGGUAUUGGUUGAACUUGAUUUUUUUGUGUUUUUAACUAGAGUUUGUGUCGUGUUUGAACUUGAGUUUGUGGUUUUUUUUAACUUGAGUUUCUGUUGUUUUUGAACUUGAGGUAUUGGAAAUUGUUAAACCUUUGAAUUAGGUGUUGGUUGAACUUGAGUUUGUGUGUUUGUUGAACUUGAGUUUGUGUCAUGUUUGAACUUUAGCUUGUGGUGUUUUUUAACUUUAGUUUGUGUGUUUGAACUUGAGGUUGUGGUGUUUUUGGACUUGAGUUUGUGUCGUGUUUAAACUUGAGGGUGUGGAAUUUGUUUAACUUGACAAUUUGGUAUUGGUUAAACUUGAGUUUGUGGGGUUUUCCUGAACUUGAGUUUGUGGAAAUUGUUUAACUUGAAAAUCAGGUGUUGGAUGAACAUGAGUUCGUGUUUGUUGAACUUGAGUUUGUGUUGUGUUGGAACUUAAGUUUUUGGUGUUUUUGAUCUUGAGUUUGUGUGUUUUUGAACUUGAAUUUUUGGUGUUUUUGAACUCGAGCUUGUGGAAGUUGUUAAACUUGAGAAUUGGGUAUUGGUUGAACUUGAGUUUUUUGUGUUUUUGAACUUGAGUUUGUGUCGUGUUUGAACUUGAGUUUAUGGUGUUUUUGAACUUGAGUUUGUGGUGUUUUUGAACUUGAGGUUGUGGAAUUUGUUAAACUUGAGAAUUGGGUAUUGGUUGAACUGAUUUUUUUGUGUUUUUGAUCUUGAGUUUGUGUCGUGUUUGAACUUGAGUUUAUGGGUUUAUUUAACUUGAAUUUGCAUGUUUGGUGAACAUGAGUUUUCGUGUUUUUUGAACUUGAGUUUCUGUUUUUUUUAACUUGAGGUUGUGGAAAUUGUUAAACCUUAGAAUCUGGUGUUGGUUGAACUUGAGUUUGUUUGUUUUUUGAACUUGAGUUUGUGGUGUAUUUGAACUUGAGUUUGUGGUGUUUAUGAACUUGAGUUUGUGUGUUUGUUGAACUUGAGUUUGUGUUGUUUUUGAACUUGAGUUUUUGGUGGUCUUGAACUUGAGGUUGAGGAAAUUGUUAAACUUAAGAAUUGGGUAUUGGUUGAACUUGCGUUUUUUGUGUUUUUAAAUUGGGUUUGUGUAGUGUUUGAACUUGAGUUUUUGGUGUUUUUGAACUUGAGUUUGUCUGUGUUUGAACUUGAGUUUUUGGCGUUUGUUGAACUUGAGUUUGUGUGUUUGUUGAACUUGAGUUUGUGUUAUGUUUGAACUUGAGUUUGUGUCGUGUAUGAACUUGAGUUUGUGUCGUGUUUUUGAACUUGAGUUUUUGGUGUUUUUGAACUUGAGGGUGUGGAAUUUGUUAAACUUGAGAAUUGGGUAUUGGUUGAAUUUGAGUUUGUGUCUUGUUUGAACUUGAGUUUGUGGUCUUUUUGAACUUGAGUUUGUGUGUUUGUUGAACUUGAGUUGUGGCGUUUGUUGAACUCUAGGUUGUGGCAAUUGUUAAACUUGAGAUUUGGUUGUUGGUUGAACUUGAGUUUGUGUCGUGUUUGAACUUGAGUUCGUGUUGUUUGAUGAACUUGAAUUUGUGUGUUUUUUUAACUUAAUUUUUUUGAACUUGAGUUUGUGGCAAUUGUUGAACUUGAGUCUGUGGUUUUUGGUGAACUUUAAUUGGUGGCAAUUGUUGAACUUGAGUUUUUGGUGAUUUUGAACUUGAGUUUGUUUCGUGUUUGAACUUUGUUUGUGGUGUUUUUGAACUUGAGUUUUUGGUGUUUUUGAACUUGAGGGUGUGUUGUGUUUUUGAACUUGAGUUUGUGGUGUUUUUGAACUUGAGUUUGUUUCGUGUUUGAACUUGAGUUUUUGGCGUUUGUUGAACUCUAGGUUGUGGCAAUUGUUGAACUUGAGAUUUGGGUGUUGGUUCAACUUAAAAGUUUGGCAUUUGUUGAACAUGAGUUUGUGUCUUUGUUGAACUUAAGUUUGUGUCUUUUUUGAACUUGGGUUUGUGUGUUUUUUGAACUUUAGUUUUUGGUGUCUUUGAACUUGAGUUUGUGGUGUUUUUGAACUUGAGUUUGAAUCGUGUUUGAACUUGAGUUUGUGGUGUUUUUGAACUUGAGUUUGUGGUGUUUUCUACUUGAGUUUGUGUCAUUUUUCAAC
Molecule: long non-coding RNA, 20720 nt
Filed under: Xyrichtys novacula (pearly razorfish)
Lineage: Eukaryota; Metazoa; Chordata; Actinopteri; Labriformes; Labridae
Source: RNAcentral